UACGUAGGGGGCUAGCGUUAUCCGGAAUUACUGGGCGUAAAGGGUGCGUAGGUGGUUUCUUAAGUCAGAGGUGAAAGGCUACGGCUCAACCGUAGUAAGCCUUUGAAACUGGGAAACUUGAGUGCAGGAGAGGAGAGUGGAAUUCCUAGUGUAGCGGUGAAAUGCGUAGAUAUUAGGAGGAACACCAGUUGCGAAGGCGGCUCUCUGGACUGUAACUGACACUGAGGCACAAAAGCGUGGGGAGCAAACAGG
RNAcentral lists this ribosomal RNA (252 nucleotides) under uncultured bacterium. Its description in RNAcentral is "partial 16S ribosomal RNA". It matches the Rfam family "Bacterial small subunit ribosomal RNA", at positions 524 to 776 of the family's 1533-position model. The record is from RNAcentral.